UACGUAGGGCGCAAGCGUUGUCCGGAAUUAUUGGGCGUAAAGAGCUCGUAGGCGGCUUGUCACGUCGGGGUGUGAAAGCCCGGGGCUUAACCCCGGGUCUGCAUUCGAUACGGGCUGAGCUAGAGUGUGGUAGGGGAGAUCGGAAUUCCUGGUGUAGCGGUGAAAUGCGCAGAUAUCAGGAGGAACACCGGUGGCGAAGGCGGAUCUCUGGGCCAUUACUGACGCUGAGGAGCGAAAGCGUGGGGAGCGAACAGG
This 255-nucleotide ribosomal RNA is filed under the name uncultured bacterium. Its description in RNAcentral is "partial 16S ribosomal RNA". It matches the Rfam family "Bacterial small subunit ribosomal RNA", at positions 524 to 776 of the family's 1533-position model. The record is from RNAcentral.